CCUACGGGAGGCUGCAGUGGGGAAUAUUGGACAAUGGGCGAAAGCCUGAUCCAGCCAUGCCGCGUGUGUGAAGAAGGCCUUCGGGUUGUAAAGCACUUUCAGUGGGGAAGAAAGCCUUGGGGCUAAUACCCUCGAGGAAGGACAUCACCCACAGAAGAAGCACCGGCUAACUCCGUGCCAGCAGCCGCGGUAAUACGGAGGGUGCGAGCGUUAAUCGGAAUUACUGGGCGUAAAGCGCGCGUAGGCGGUCUGAUAAGCCGGUUGUGAAAGCCCCGGGCUCAACCUGGGAACGGCAUCCGGAACUGUCAGGCUUGAGUGCAGGAGAGGAAGGUAGAAUUCCCGGUGUAGCGGUGAAAUGCGUAGAGAUCGGGAGGAAUACCAGUGGCGAAGGCGGCCUUCUGGACUGACACUGACGCUGAGGUGCGAAAGCGUGGGUAGCAAACAGGAUUAGAUACCCUUGUAGUC
Molecule: ribosomal RNA, 465 nt
Filed under: Vreelandella stevensii
Lineage: Bacteria; Pseudomonadati; Pseudomonadota; Gammaproteobacteria; Oceanospirillales; Halomonadaceae
Description: partial 16S ribosomal RNA
Rfam family: Bacterial small subunit ribosomal RNA
Source: RNAcentral